GUGAGGAAUAUUGCGCAAUGGGCGAAAGCCUGACGCAGCGACGCCGCGUGGAGGAUGAAGGUCUUCGGAUUGUAAACUUCUGUUAAGUGGGAAGAAAGGGCUGUUUUUAAUAGAAGCAGUUAAUGACGGUACCAUUAAAGAAAACACCGGCUAAACUCGUGCCAGCAGCCGCGGUAAUACGAGUGGUGCAAGCGUUAUUCGGAAUAAUUGGGCGUACAGGGUGUGUAGGCGGUAUGUUAAGUCUGUUGUUAAAGACUCCGGCCUAACCGGAGACAGGCAGCGGAAACUGGCGUACUAGAGGGUGGAAGAGAGAAGUGGAAUUCUCGGUGUAGCGGUAAAAUGCGUAGAUAUCGAGAGGAACACCGAUGGCGAAGGCAGCUUCUUGGUCCAUACCUGACGCUGAAACACGAAAGCGUGGGGAGCAAACAGGAUUAGAUACCCGUGUAGUCC
RNAcentral lists this ribosomal RNA (450 nucleotides) under uncultured bacterium. Its description in RNAcentral is "partial 16S ribosomal RNA". It matches the Rfam family "Bacterial small subunit ribosomal RNA", at positions 354 to 796 of the family's 1533-position model. The record is from RNAcentral.